GACGAACGCUGGCGGCGUGCUUAACACAUGCAAGUCGAACGCUGAAGCUCAGCUUUUGUUGGGUGGAUGAGUGGCGAACGGGUGAGUAACACGUGAGUAACCUGCCUCCUUCUUUGGGAUAACGCCCGGAAACGGGUGCUCAUACUGGAUAUUCACUGGUCUUCGCCUGGGGGUUGGUGGAAAGGGUUUUUCUGGUGGGGGAUGGGCUCGCGGCCUAUCCGCUUGUUGGUGGGGUGAUGGCCUACCAAGGCUUUGACGGGUAGCCGGCCUGAGAGGGUGACCGGGAACAUUGGGACUGAGAUAAGGCCCAGAGUAGUACGGGAGGCAGAAGUGGGGAAUAUGGGACAAUGGGCGAAAGACUGAUGCAGCGACGGCGCGUGAGGGAUGGAGGCCUUAGGGUUGUGAACCUAUGUAGCUAAAGGUGAGGCAGCAACAAUGGUUGUGGUGAGGGUAGUGAGUAAAGAAGCGCCGGCUAACUACGUG
Molecule: ribosomal RNA, 483 nt
Filed under: uncultured bacterium
Lineage: Bacteria
Description: partial 16S ribosomal RNA
Rfam family: Bacterial small subunit ribosomal RNA
Source: RNAcentral